This 160-nucleotide ribosomal RNA is filed under the name Euphrasia hirtella. RNAcentral describes it as "5.8S ribosomal RNA". It matches the Rfam family "5.8S ribosomal RNA". Rfam says of the family: 5.8S ribosomal RNA (5.8S rRNA) is a component of the large subunit of the eukaryotic ribosome. The record is from RNAcentral. Lineage: Eukaryota; Viridiplantae; Streptophyta; Magnoliopsida; Lamiales; Orobanchaceae.
CGACUCUCGRCAACGGAUAUCUCGGCUCUCGCAUCGAUGAAGAACGUAGCGAAAUGCGAUACUUGGUGUGAAUUGCAGAAUCCCGUGAACCAUCGAGUCUUUGAACGCAAGUUGCGCCCGAAACCAUUYGGUUGAGGGCACGUCUGCCUGGGCGUCACGC